GACGAACGCUGGCGGCGUGCUUAACACAUGCAAGUCGUACGGUAAGGCCCUUUCGGGGGUACACGAGUGGCGAACGGGUGCGUAACACGUGAGUAACCUGCCCACAACUUUGGGAUAACGCUAGGAAACUGGUGCUAAUACUGGAUAUGUGCUCCUUCUGCAUGGUGGGGGUUGGAAAGCUCCGGCGGUUGUGGAUGGACUCGCGGCCUAUCAGCUUGUUGGUGGGGUAGUGGCCUACCAAGGCGGCGACGGGUAGCCGGCCUGAGAGGGUGACCGGCCACAUUGGGACUGAGAUACGGCCCAGACUCCUACGGGAGGCAGCAGUGGGGAAUAUUGCACAAUGGGCGCAAGCCUGAUGCAGCAACGCCGCGUGCGGGAUGACGGCCUUCGGGUUGUAAACCGCUUUCAGCAGGGACGAAGCUUUUUGUGACGGUACCUGCAGAAGAAGCACCGGCUAACUACGUG
This 465-nucleotide ribosomal RNA is filed under the name uncultured bacterium. RNAcentral's name for it is "partial 16S ribosomal RNA". It matches the Rfam family "Bacterial small subunit ribosomal RNA", at positions 28 to 507 of the family's 1533-position model. The record is from RNAcentral.